This 501-nucleotide ribosomal RNA is filed under the name uncultured bacterium. RNAcentral's name for it is "partial 16S ribosomal RNA". It matches the Rfam family "Bacterial small subunit ribosomal RNA", at positions 30 to 523 of the family's 1533-position model. The record is from RNAcentral.
AUUGAACGCUGGCGGCAGGCUUAACACAUGCAAGUCGAGCGGGGGAAGGUAGCUUGCUACUGGACCUAGCGGCGGACGGGUGAGUAAUGCUUAGGAAUCUGCCUAUUAGUGGGGGACAACAUCUCGAAAGGGAUGCUAAUACCGCAUACGUCCUACGGGAGAAAGCAGGGGAUCUUCGGACCUUGCGCUAAUAGAUGAGCCUAAGUCGGAUUAGCUAGUUGGUGGGGUAAAGGCCUACCAAGGCGACGAUCUGUAGCGGGUCUGAGAGGAUGAUCCGCCACACUGGGACUGAGGCACGGCCCAGACUCCUACGGGAGGCAGCAGUGGGGAAGAUUGGACAAUGGGGGGAACCCUGAUCCAGCCAUGCCGCGUGUGUGAAGAAGGCCUUAUGGUUGUAAAGCACUUUAAGCGAGGAGGAGGCUACUCUAGUUAAUACCUAGGGAUAGUGGACGUUACUCGCAGAAUAAGCACCGGCUAACUCUGUGCCAGCCGCCGCCGUAA